CGCGAAUCGUUUGAGGGAAGGGGCGGGAGUUGGGGAGGUGGAGUUCCCUGUUAAAACGGGCCACUUGAUUAGCAAAGUGGUAGCUGUUAUUUUGGGGGAAUUCCCGUCUUGAUUGCAUUAAGGCGGGUCUCCAUCUUUCCAGGCCAGGAGGAAUGUGGUGGUGGAGGUGGAGGAUUGUGGUAUGUGGUCAGGAGUGAGAAGAAAUAGUAAGGCCGUCCCGGUGAGGGAGAAAUGUAACCUAAAACCUGUCUCUGCUGUUGUUGGAUUGGGUCACCCCUGGUCUAUGGCAUGAAAGUUUUAUUGGGAGGAGAUCUGCUGCAAGAGUCUGAUUGCUUGGGUCAGUGCAACAGGACAGAAUCUAGUCGCUGCAUACCUCCUUCCCUGUCCUCAAUCAGAGACUAGACGCUUUUCGACUGCAGGAACUGGAUUUCGUCUCCUCUUCCACAAUGCCCAUGCAAACAGAUCAAGUCUUCCAUACCAGGGACCAGGCCAAAACCAGACUGCCACUGCCCCUACUUGGGCCCCA
Molecule: long non-coding RNA, 526 nt
Filed under: Homo sapiens (human)
Lineage: Eukaryota; Metazoa; Chordata; Mammalia; Primates; Hominidae
Description: non-protein coding lnc-WNT10B-1:4
Source: RNAcentral